Molecule: small RNA, 857 nt
Filed under: Histoplasma capsulatum
Lineage: Eukaryota; Fungi; Ascomycota; Eurotiomycetes; Onygenales; Ajellomycetaceae
Also listed under: 1 other name
Description: hypothetical RNA
Source: RNAcentral
UCAUCUUCUUGUCAUCUCCAUCAUCAUCACCAUCAUCAUCUCCUCUUCAUCACCAUCUUCAUCAUCAUCUUCAUUGCCAUUGUCAUCAUCAUCACCAUCUCCAUCUCCAUCUCAUCACCAUCACCAUUGCCAUCACCAUCACCAUCACUAUCUUCAUCUUCUCUUCAUCUCCAUCUUCAUCACCAUCACCAUCUUCAUCUUCUCUCCAUCUUCAUCUUCAUCACCAUCACCAUCAUCAUCAUCAUCAUCAUCUUCAUCUCCUCAUCACCAUCACCAUCACCAUCUUCAUCUCCUCUCCAUCUUCAUCUCCAUCAUCAUCACCAUCACCAUCACCAUCACCAUCACCAUCACCAUUGCCAUCACCAUCAUCAUCAUCAUCACCAUCAUCAUCUCCAUCUUCAUUGCCAUCUCCAUCGCCAUUGCCAUCACCAUCACCAUCACCAUUGCCAUUGCCAUUACCAUCUCCAUCUCCUCUUCAUCUCCAUCUUCAUCACCAUCACCAUCACCAUCAUCAUCACUAUCUCCAUCUUCUCAUCACCAUUGCCAUUACCAUCUUCAUCUCCUCUUUAUCUUCAUCUCCAUUGCCAUCACCAUCACCAUCAUCAUCUCCAUCACCAUUGUCAUCAUACCACUAUCUAUUGUUUUUCAAAUCAGCUUGAAUCAAUGACUCUAUCAAGGAAACAGUGUACACUCUGUGAGAAAACUAUUCAGUCAAAGAACUAUUUCAAUUAUAUAAAGAAUCAGUGUCUAGAAAAAUUGUUGGCUAUUACUUGUGAGAAUUGUAAUAAAACAGUUUUAUAAAAUCAUAAAUAUAUCAGAGACAAGAGACAGUGUUGUCAGCUAUAUCAGAAAUUGAA